RNAcentral lists this transfer RNA (69 nucleotides) under Lutzomyia trinidadensis. RNAcentral's name for it is "tRNA-Ala". Lineage: Eukaryota; Metazoa; Arthropoda; Insecta; Diptera; Psychodidae. The record is from RNAcentral.
AGGGGUAUAGUUAAUUAUAACAUUUAAGUUGCAUUUAAAAGGUAUUGUAUUCAAUUAUCCUUAAUUAAU